This 478-nucleotide ribosomal RNA is filed under the name uncultured bacterium. Its description in RNAcentral is "partial 16S ribosomal RNA". It matches the Rfam family "Bacterial small subunit ribosomal RNA", at positions 28 to 523 of the family's 1533-position model. The record is from RNAcentral.
GAUGAACGCUGGCGGCGUGCUUAACACAUGCAAGUCGAACGGUAAGGCCCUUCGGGGUACACGAGUGGCGAACGGGUGAGUAACACGUGGGUGAUCUGCCCUGCACUUCGGGAUAAGCCUGGGAAACUGGGUCUAAUACCGGAUAGGACCACUGCCUGCAUGGGUGGUGGUGGAAAGCUUUUGCGGUGUGGGAUGGGCCCGCCGCCUAUAAGCUUGUUGGUGGGGUGAUGGCCUACCAAGGCGACGACGGGUAGCCGGCCUGAGAGGGUGACCGGCCACACUGGGACUGUGAUACAGCACAGAAUCCUACGGGAGGCAGCAGUGGGGAAUAUUGCACAAUGGGCGCAAGCCUGAUGCAGCGACGCCGCGUGAGGGAUAACGGCCUUCGGGUUGUAAACCUCUUUCAGCACCGACGAAGCGCAAGUGACGGUAGGUGCAGAAGAAGGACCGGCCAACUACGUGCCAGCAGCCGCCGUAA